GAUGAACGCUGGCGGCGUGCCUAAUACAUGCAAGUCGAGCGAACAGACGAGGAGCUUGCUCCUCUGACGUUAGCGGCGGACGGGUGAGUAACACGUGGAUAACCUACCUAUAAGACUGGGAUAACUUCGGGAAACCGGAGCUAAUACCGGAUAAUAUAUUGAACCGCAUGGUUCAAUAGUGAAAGACGGUUUUGCUGUCACUUAUAGAUGGAUCCGCGCCGCAUUAGCUAGUUGGUAAGGUAACGGCUUACCAAGGCAACGAUGCGUAGCCGACCUGAGAGGGUGAUCGGCCACACUGGAACUGAGACACGGUACAGACUCCUACGGGAGGCAGCAGUAGGGAAUAUUCCGCAAUGGGCGAAAGCCUGACGGAGCAACGCCGCGUGAGUGAUGAAGGUCUUCGGAUCGUAAAACUCUGUUAUUAGGGAAGAACAAAUGUGUAAGUAACUAUGCACGUCUUGACGGUACCUAAUCAGAAAGCCACGGCUAACUACGUG
This 497-nucleotide ribosomal RNA is filed under the name uncultured bacterium. RNAcentral describes it as "partial 16S ribosomal RNA". It matches the Rfam family "Bacterial small subunit ribosomal RNA", at positions 28 to 507 of the family's 1533-position model. The record is from RNAcentral.